Molecule: ribosomal RNA, 497 nt
Filed under: uncultured bacterium
Lineage: Bacteria
Description: partial 16S ribosomal RNA
Rfam family: Bacterial small subunit ribosomal RNA
Source: RNAcentral
GAUGAACGCUGGCGGCGUGCCUAAUACAUGCAAGUCGAGCGAACGGACGAGAAGCUUGCUCCUCUGAUGUUAGCGGCGGACGGGUGAGUAACACGUGGAUAACCUACCUAUAAGACUGGGAUAACUUCGGGAAACCGGAGCUAAUACCGGAUAAUAUUUUGAACCGCAUGGUUCAAUAGUGAAAGACGGUUUUGCUGUCACUUAUAGAUGGAUCCGCGCUGCAUUAGCUAGUUGGUAAGGUAACGGCUUACCAAGGCAACGAUGCAUAGCCGACCUGAGAGGGUGAUCGGCCACACUGGAACUGAGACACGGUCCAGACUCCUACGGGAGGCAGCAGUAGGGAAUCUUCCGCAAUGGGCGAAAGCCUGACGGAGCAACGCCGCGUGAGUGAUGAAGGUCUUCGGAUCGUAAAACUCUGUUAUUAGGGAAGAACAAAUGUGUAAGUAACUGUGCACGUCUUGACGGUACCUAAUCAGAAAGCCACGGCUAACUACGUG